CCGAAAAUCUAAUUCAUGACUUCCAACCACAUUAGAAAAUCCUUCCAAGAAUAACUUAUUCUAAAAUUCAAACAAGACAAUCUAAGUCAUAUAUUUUCAAAUAAAAUAUAUUAUUUAGUAGUGAAAUAUAUUAUCCUGUCAAAUAAUGAAUAUCAUGCCCUUCAAAAAGCAAAAUUCAACCUCCCACAUUUUAAUUAUAUAUAAGAAAAUAUUUAGUGUAUAAAUUAUCAUUAAAUAACUUAUUCCAACAUUAACAAUAUGGAUGCAGAUUAUUAUUUGAAUUAAUCCCAUGCGUAUGGAUUCCUCCACACCGGAUUGUAGCGAAUGCAUUCCCCACUAGGGGCAUGUUUGUUUCAACGUAAGUAGAUUUGGGGUGGAAGUAGAAUUUCGGUUGAAGUAGAGUUGGGGUGAAAAUUAAUUCACUUCCGCUGUUUGUUUCUAGCUGUAACCAGUUUUGCGAAUUCUGUUGUUUGUUUGGUAGGAAAUAGAUAACGUUAAAGUGUAACUCUUCAUCCCCGGUAUACUUAUCUCCGAAAUGAUAUCAUUUGUCUAUUUUGUAACUUAGUGAAUAAUAAAUAAAAAUUAAUAUAAUUAUAUAUGUAUAUAAUUAUAUAUAUGUAUAAUUAUAAAAUAAAAUUUUAAAAAAUUUGAUUAUUUGUUUGCAUAUAAAUUAUAAUAAUACAACAAAUAAAAUUCUAAAGUUAAAAAAUUAUUAACAUUUAACAAAUUCAUUUUUCAUCAUUUUCUAAAUAUACAAAUUAAACAAAAAAUAUAUUAAAACUUACCUAAUCAAAUUUGAUCAUAUUUUAGACAUACAAUCAAAAUAAAAAAAUUUAAUUACUUCCACAAUUAAAUAUAUUUGGAUGAAAUAAAACUAGCAUUGCUUUGGCGGUGAAAGAAAAAUGAGGAGUUUUUUUUUUUUUCGUAGUGUCUGCUGAGAAAAAUAAAAAAAUGGCGAUGUGGAGUUGGGCCUGGACGUCGCCCCAACACAUUAAUUUCCACUCUUGCUUCUUUUCACCUCACCGAAAUUGACUUCGCCCCAUGGGAGGAGAAAGUCAAUUUCAUUAUUUUUGGAUGAACUAGACUUUCGGGUGUAAUAAAAUUACGGUAAACCAAACAACGAAAGUGGUCAGUUUUUACCGAAAAUUACUUUCCUCUUCCAACUUCCACCCUAUUUCCGUGCAAACAAACAGGC
Molecule: long non-coding RNA, 1195 nt
Filed under: Ananas comosus (pineapple)
Lineage: Eukaryota; Viridiplantae; Streptophyta; Magnoliopsida; Poales; Bromeliaceae
Description: long non-coding RNA (ACOM_LNC004277)
Source: RNAcentral